UCAAAAGUCCUUCCCGCAUCCCUGGUC
RNAcentral lists this non-coding RNA (27 nucleotides) under Mus musculus (house mouse). The record is from RNAcentral. Lineage: Eukaryota; Metazoa; Chordata; Mammalia; Rodentia; Muridae.